Long non-coding RNA from Salvia miltiorrhiza (redroot sage), 1417 nucleotides. RefSeq lists it as uncharacterized. The transcript is spliced from 3 exons. The record is from RefSeq and is a predicted model, not a curated record. Lineage: Eukaryota; Viridiplantae; Streptophyta; Magnoliopsida; Lamiales; Lamiaceae.
AUUUGAUGGAAAACCAGUUAUUGUUUGGUGGCAAAACAGUUGUUCUUGGUGGAGAUUUUCGGCAAACUAUACCAAUUGUUCGAAGGGGUUCUCGUGAAGAGAUAUUGGAUGCUUGUUUGGUAUAUUCAUCCAUAUGGCUUCUUUUUCGAAAAAUUCAUUUGACACAGAAUAUGCGGGCAAUGGAGGAUCCUGUUUUUACAGAUUUGUUAUUGAGGGUUGGUGAAGGCAUAGAGCCAAAUGUUCGUGCUGAUUAUAUUAAUCUUCCUGAAGAUAUGUGCCUUCCUUACCAUGGUUCAGAUUCGCCUCUUGACACACUGGUCAAUGAAAUAUUUCCGUCGUUUGAUGCAUAUUCUAGCGGUUCUUCGAGCCUUAUAAAUACCGCUAUUUUAACUCCUAAAAAUGAAUGUAUGGGAGAAAUUAAUGAAUCAUUGAUUGGAAAAUUCCCAGGCAAUAUGGUUGAAUAUGUUAGCACGGAUUAUGCAAACGAUCCAAGCCAGCAACAAUACUAUCAAGAUUAUAUGAAUGCAAUUAGUGUUGGUUCAUUGCCACCACAUGUUCUUAAAUUAAAGGUUAACUGUCCAGUUAUGUUACUUCACAACUUAAAUCCAUUGGAGGGGUUGUGUAAUGGAACACGUUUAAUUGUGCGUGAUCUUGGUAGGCACGUGAUCGGAGCCGUCAUUGCUGUAGGGACUCAUUCUGGUGAAUAUGUUUUAAUCCCAAGGAUUCCAUUGGAGUUGGAUGAUACACACAUAUGUCCAAUUACUUUUAAGAGGCUACAAUUUCCGCUAAGAUUGUGUUUUGCAAUCAGCAUCAACAAAUCUUAAGGACAAACAUUGGAUCGUGUCGGUGUUUAUUUGCCUCAUCCUGUUUUUUCACAUGGACAGCUAUAUGUUGCUUUAUCAAGGGUCAGAACAUCAAGUUCAAUAAAAUUCUUAAUUCGACCGCCAGUUGCUGAUAUGGAUUCAACAUGUGAAACAAGAAAUGUUGUGUACACUGAAAUUUUGCAUGCGGCGACAUGAUGAUAAAUCUGGGUACUUUGUAGAAGGCAGGUUGUCAAGAAAUGGAAGAGCGUUUGAUUCCAAUGAAUGAGAUUCUCCCAGGAACGAAGGAAUGGAAAUGCAAGGUGAGAGUGAUCAAGAAGCAAGAACCUAAGCAAGCUAACAAUAAUCCUAAUAAAUUUCAGAAAUUAAUCUUGGGUGAUGGCUUGGGCCACACUCUUGAUGCCGUGAUAUUCCAUGAUAAUAUAGAUAGGUUCAAACAUGUGCUUCAAGAGGGUAAUGUUUACAUGGUGAAAGGAGCCUAUGUUUCUGAUCCAAAGCAAUACAGGAAUCCAAUUGUGACAUGUAAUUACCAAUGGACGUUCAGAAAAGAUACUUCGGUGAAUGAAGAACCAAAUGAUUUGAUACCUGCUGGUGGA